Thunnus maccoyii (southern bluefin tuna) is the source of this 284-nucleotide long non-coding RNA. RefSeq lists it as uncharacterized. Lineage: Eukaryota; Metazoa; Chordata; Actinopteri; Scombriformes; Scombridae. The transcript has 3 exons. The record is from RefSeq and is a predicted model, not a curated record.
GAAGAAGAGGGACUAUUGGACAUCUCAAACACACUGCACAUCUUCCUGAAUUUCCCAUGCCCGAGUGAGCAAGAUAUGACAGACCUUCAAGCUACUGUGGACCCUACAGACCUAUCCAACUCCCAAGGUUGUGGCAUUAACUGUCGUUCUCUUCAAAUCUUUCAGUGAGCAACUGUCAUGUUGACAGGAACAUGGCCUUGCCCUGUUAUCCACUGAAGAAAUGCCUUUGGAGAAAAUGAGGGAGGUGCAGCUUUCUCCAGCCCUGAAUCAGUUUCAUCUGAAAU